Molecule: ribosomal RNA, 274 nt
Filed under: uncultured bacterium
Lineage: Bacteria
Description: partial 16S ribosomal RNA
Rfam family: Bacterial small subunit ribosomal RNA
Source: RNAcentral
AUACGGAGGGUGCAAGCGUUAAGCGGAAUUACUGGGCGUAAAGCGUACGUAGGCGGUUCGUUAAGUUAGAUGUGAAAGCCCCGGGCUUAACCUGGGAACUGCAUUUAAAACUGGCGAACUAGAGUUGAGUAGAGGGGUGUGGAAUUUCAGGUGUAGCGGUGAAAUGCGUAGAGAUCUGAAGGAACACCAGUGGCGAAGGCGACUCCCUGGACUCAAACUGACGCUGAGGUACGAAAGCGUGGGUAGCAAACGGGAUUAGAAACCCUAGUAGUCC